RNAcentral lists this ribosomal RNA (441 nucleotides) under uncultured bacterium. RNAcentral describes it as "bacterial SSU rRNA". It matches the Rfam family "Bacterial small subunit ribosomal RNA", at positions 28 to 480 of the family's 1533-position model. The record is from RNAcentral.
GACGAACGCUGGCGGCGCGCCUAACACAUGCAAGUCGAACGGAGCUGAGAGGAGCUUGCUUUUCUUAGCUUAGUGGCGAACGGGUGAGUAACGCGUGAGUAACCUGCCCUGGAGUGGGGGACAACAGUUGGAAACGACUGCUAAUACCGCAUAAGCCCACGGCCCGGCAUCGGGCUGAGGGAAAAGGAUUUAUUCGCUUCAGGAUGGACUCGCGUCCGAUUAGCUAGUUGGUGAGGUAACGGCCCACCAAGGCAACGAUCGGUAGCCGGACUGAGAGGUUGAACGGCCACAUUGGGACUGAGACACGGCCCAGACUCCUACGGGAGGCAGCAGUGGGGAAUAUUGCACAAUGGGGGAAACCCUGAUGCAGCGACGCCGCGUGGAGGAAGAAGGUCUUCGGAUUGUAAACUCCUGUUGUUGAGGAAGAUAAUGACGGUACUC